GAAGAGAAGAUGUUCGGGCAGCCGCCACAGAUGCAGCGUAAGCCUGGUGGGCGCUGGCAUGGUUGGGGCCUUCUGGUCUCUUCCACGGAGUUGGAGCCACAGGUGACAAUGAGAUUUCCAGAAACCGGAACAGAGGGGACAACUUGGUGUAGCAUAUUCGUAAUCCAGAGGAUGCAUCUUUGGAGCAAAGAGGAAAGGUCCUUCCUCUUGGAUUCCACAGUGUGCUUAGUUAUCUUAUCUUCUUCAUCUGCUUCACUCUGUGGCAGCUCCACCAUCUUUCCUUGUCUUUCAUGACACUUUCAAGGGUCCUAGUCAGUUGUUUCAUAGAAUGUCCUCCACUGGGGUCUGUCUGACGUUUUCUUGUGGCGAUAUUGAGGAGCUGCAUUAUUGAGAAGAAUGCCCAGACGUACAUGACGUAUUUCACUGUCGUUAAACAAGAUAACAAGGUUAAGAUCGUUUCUCCAGGAUUGUCUAUUAUCAAGUUACGCCUUUUUGUAUUUCUUAAAAGCUUUUUUGGGGUGUGUGUGUAAUAUUUCAAAGCAAUGCAAAUAUGCUAUUACACUUACACUUCUGCCUACUAAAUCUAUCAAAGGAUCUCACCUGUGGCAAUGAAUAUUGUGGCAAUCUAAAAGUCAUGUUAUUUCCCUUAUUCCUUCUACAUUUAUAAAUUGCAACUCUUCGUAAGGAGGAGUUGCAUGAUGUUACAUUGUGAU
Molecule: long non-coding RNA, 713 nt
Organism: Eptesicus fuscus (big brown bat)
Lineage: Eukaryota; Metazoa; Chordata; Mammalia; Chiroptera; Vespertilionidae
Exons: 3
Source: RefSeq, a predicted model, not a curated record